ACCACCUUAUUUGUUUGCUUCUUUCCAUCAUGUUGAAUUGCCGGCUGAGCAACCCCUCCUCCUUAGUUAUUUCAGACGGCAUCACUAUUUUUCUGCCCGAUCUUUUUUGUUAAGUGUCGCACAUAUGUUGAAGGACAAGUGGUGUACUUAUGAGGUCUUAGAUAAUUCUUGCCUCAUGACCAAGCUUCUGGGAUUGAAUUAGGACCAAACAUAGGAUCCCUUAUGUUAUAUUGUCAACACUCCUGAUGUUCUUCAUAUCAGUGUGUAUGGGUGUGUUAAGUAUCUCACAUAAGUAAUGUUUUCUCUUUAUAAGGUAUUCAACAAUCUUCACCUUAAGCUAUUUUUGGAGCUGAAUUAGGUGCAAGAACCAUUUUCUGAAACAUUUUCCACUUCAUAAUAGGCUUUUCCUGUC
Molecule: long non-coding RNA, 412 nt
Filed under: Solanum tuberosum (potato)
Lineage: Eukaryota; Viridiplantae; Streptophyta; Magnoliopsida; Solanales; Solanaceae
Description: long non-coding RNA (STUB_LNC009255)
Source: RNAcentral